RNAcentral lists this ribosomal RNA (206 nucleotides) under uncultured bacterium. RNAcentral describes it as "partial 16S ribosomal RNA". It matches the Rfam family "Bacterial small subunit ribosomal RNA", at positions 524 to 722 of the family's 1533-position model. The record is from RNAcentral.
CACGUAGGGGGCGAGCGUUAGUCCGGAUUUAUUGGGCGUAAAGAGCUCGUAGGCGGCUUCGGUAAGUCAGGUGUGAAAACUCUAGGCUCAACCUAGAGACGCCACCUGAUACUGCUGUGGCUAGAGGUUCGGUUGAGGGGAGCAUGGAAUUCCUGGUGUAGCGGUGAAAUGCGCAGAUAUCAGGAGGAACACCAGUGGGCGAAGGC